GGGGCUGUAGCUCAGAUGGAUAGAGCAGCAACCUUCUAAGUUGUCGGUCGCCCGUUCGAGUCGGGCCAGCCCCGCCA
RNAcentral lists this transfer RNA (77 nucleotides) under Chloroflexaceae bacterium. Its description in RNAcentral is "tRNA-Arg". It matches the Rfam family "tRNA". Rfam says of the family: Transfer RNA (tRNA) molecules are approximately 80 nucleotides in length. Their secondary structure includes four short double-helical elements and three loops (D, anti-codon, and T loops). Lineage: Bacteria; Bacillati; Chloroflexota; Chloroflexia; Chloroflexales; Chloroflexaceae. The record is from RNAcentral.